CACCGCCCGUCACACCAUGGGAGUCGAUUGCUCCAGAAGUGGGUGAGCCAACUCGCAAGAGAGGCAGCCCCCCAAGGAGUGGUCGGUAACUGGGGUG
This 97-nucleotide ribosomal RNA is filed under the name uncultured bacterium. RNAcentral describes it as "partial 16S ribosomal RNA". It matches the Rfam family "Bacterial small subunit ribosomal RNA", at positions 1388 to 1482 of the family's 1533-position model. The record is from RNAcentral.